CACCGGAAGUCAAUGAAGCGGGUCUUUCCUACGCUAAAAACCACUGAGUGGAGUAUUUAGUACACAGGAAGUCGGCCAGAGAAACAUUUCUCAUAUUUGAAGGCCGGAAAGAGGGACAUUUCUGACACCGGAAGUCAGUGAGAGGACUCUUUCCCACACAGGAAGUCAGCUAGAGAGCCGUCUCCCCUCUCUGGAGCCGAGAGAGGCCGGUUUCCCCCACCAUAGCAGGGCUGGGAGAAAGGGAUGGGGAGAGUCCCUCCUGCCACUGACCCAGGAUGGAUAAAAGUACCCCUUUCAUAGAAGGAAGAAAAUGGGAACAAAGGUGCUGCUGAUCAUCUGAGGUUGCCUGCAUGGCAGUGAAGAACAUGGACCUUUGGGUAGCCCACCUGGGAGGAAUUUUCCAGAGAUCACUGUCUGAUGACCCUGUCUUGGAAUUGGAGCCAUGCAAGUUACACUGACCACGUUUGGGUUGGGAUAUUGAGGAGGUUAUGGUUAAAAGCAUACGAUGGGAGAUCAUAUUGUACUUGCGAGUGAGACCCGGCUGGAGGAAUGUUUUAAUUCUUCGGAAAUACCAAGUGGUCUCUACAGAACACUGAAGAUUCUGCUCUCAGGGUGUUGAUUGACGUCUGGAAGGCAGAGACUCGUGGAUUAGCAAGCAUGUGUAAGAAAGUGCUCUGGAUGCCACAGGGUGGUAAUUUGUGCAUGGAAAAUGGCUGGGGUGAAGAGGAGACUAGGCUUUAUCUUGUCAGGUGGUCUCUGUGGUUCCAGUACCCAUGAGGGAGCUGAGUCUGAAGGACCUUGGAGCUUUGCAGAUAUAAAGAAAAAGCUGAUUUAAGCUUCCCCAGUUUUCCCUGCCCCCUUCAUGAAAGAAUUACAGCAUAUAAUAAGAAAAAUCUGGAGAAACACUUAUUUUUAUGG
This is a long non-coding RNA of Homo sapiens (human), 918 nucleotides long. Ensembl annotates it as MIAT neighbor. Its record names the gene MIATNB. Lineage: Eukaryota; Metazoa; Chordata; Mammalia; Primates; Hominidae. The record is from Ensembl.